UGGGGAAUGUUGGACAAUGGGCGCAAGCCUGAUCCAGCCAUGCCGCGUGUGUGAAGAAGGCCUUUUGGUUGUAAAGCACUUUAAGCGAGGAGGAGGCUACUUGGCUUAAUACUCUAGGAUAGUGGACGUUACUCGCAGAAUAAGCACCCGCUAACUCUGUGCCAGCAGCCGCGGUAAUAAAGAGUGUGCGAGCGUUAAUCGGAUUUACAGGGCGUAAAGCGUGCGUAGGCGGCUUCUUAAGUCCGAUGUGAAAUCCCUGCGCUUAACUUAGGGAUUGCAUUCGGUACUGGGAAGCUAGAGUAUGGGCGGGGGUGGUAGGAAUCCCGGUGUAGCGGGGGAAUGCGUAGAGAUCUGGAGGGAUACCGAUGGGGGAGGCAGCCAUCUGGCCUAAUACUGACGCUGGGGUACGAAAGCAUGGGGAGCAAACAAG
This 430-nucleotide ribosomal RNA is filed under the name bacterium. RNAcentral's name for it is "partial 16S ribosomal RNA". It matches the Rfam family "Bacterial small subunit ribosomal RNA", at positions 355 to 776 of the family's 1533-position model. The record is from RNAcentral.